UACGAAGGGGGCUAGCGUUGCUCGGAAUCACUGGGCGUAAAGGGUGCGUAGGCGGGUUUUUAAGUCAGGGGUGAAAUCCUGGAGCUCAACUCCAGAACUGCCUUUGAUACUGAGAAGCUUGAGUCCGGGAGAGGUGAGUGGAACUGCGAGUGUAGAGGUGAAAUUCGUAGAUAUUCGCAAGAACACCAGUGGCGAAGGCGGCUCACUGGCCCGGUACUGACGCUGAGGUGCGAAAGCGUGGGGAGCAAACAGG
RNAcentral lists this ribosomal RNA (253 nucleotides) under uncultured bacterium. Its description in RNAcentral is "partial 16S ribosomal RNA". It matches the Rfam family "Bacterial small subunit ribosomal RNA", at positions 524 to 776 of the family's 1533-position model. The record is from RNAcentral.